UACGUAGGGGGCAAGCGUUGUCCGGAUUCAUUGGGCGUAAAGAGCGUGUAGGCGGCCAGGUAGGUCGGUUGUGAAAACUGGAGGCUCAACCUUCAGAGUUCGACCGAAACCAUCUGGCUAGAGUCCGGGAGAGGAGAGUGGAAUUCCUGGUGUAGCGGUGAAAUGCGCAGAUAUCAGGAAGAACACCCGUGGCGAAAGCGGCUCUCUGGAACGGUACUGACGCUGAGACGCGAAAGCGUGGGGAGCGAACAGG
RNAcentral lists this ribosomal RNA (253 nucleotides) under uncultured bacterium. RNAcentral describes it as "partial 16S ribosomal RNA". It matches the Rfam family "Bacterial small subunit ribosomal RNA", at positions 524 to 776 of the family's 1533-position model. The record is from RNAcentral.